CAUCUACUGUUGUGGAUCCAGGUUCAGUAAGAAGAACAAGGACAGCAUAAAUCCUUACGUCUACCUGCCUUUUGGAUCUGGACCCCGAAAUUGCAUUGGCAUGAGGUUUGCUGUCAUGAAUAUGAAACUUGCUGCCGUCAGAGUCCUGCAGAACUUCUCUUUCAAACCUUGUAAAGAAACACAGAUCCCCUUGAAAAUAAGCAGUCAAGGACUUUUAAGACCAGAAAAACCUGUUGUUCUAAAGGUUGUGCCCAGAAGUGGAACCAUAAGUGGAGCCUGACUUUCCCUAAAGACCUGGGCUUUAUUCUUCAAGAAGCUGUGUCCCAGAAUUUCAGGGGGGUUGAUUUACUUUGUAGUAAAACUCAGAAAUAAAGAUGGGCUUCAUUUGUUGUACCUGCUGGA
Molecule: non-coding RNA, 402 nt
Organism: Odocoileus virginianus texanus
Lineage: Eukaryota; Metazoa; Chordata; Mammalia; Artiodactyla; Cervidae
Source: RefSeq, a predicted model, not a curated record